Ananas comosus (pineapple) is the source of this 2962-nucleotide long non-coding RNA. RefSeq lists it as uncharacterized. The transcript is spliced from 4 exons. Lineage: Eukaryota; Viridiplantae; Streptophyta; Magnoliopsida; Poales; Bromeliaceae. The record is from RefSeq and is a predicted model, not a curated record.
AAAACGAAACCACAGGGGGGCAAAUUGAUACACUUUAAACCACAGGGGGACAAAGUGAGAAACUACGAAACCACAAGGGGGUUUUUGAAGUUUUCCCUAUCUAAUAAAAUGUGCAGUCUUGGAAUCAAACCAGCUGAUUUAAUUGGUCUGGCUUUCCUUUUGGCUUGUUGUCUAGCUGGUUUAGUAUUGGUGAAUGAUGAUGAGAUUUUUCUGACUGUUGAAAUCAAGAAUUUAAGUGCCGUCGCACGGGGUCGUGCCGGAAACUUGCUGGCACGGUACCGUAUGGUUAAUUGAAUCGUGCACAGGAUUUUAUAGAAUUGAUGACAGUAUUACCCGGUCCAAGUGUAUGUCGAGCUCUUUUUGAUGCUUAGGUGAUACAGAGCUAUCAAAGCAUGCAAAAUUGGGUGUAAGUCUCUUGUUGAGUUGGAACAACAGAAUCCAUCAGACACCUUUCUGCAUCCUACAACACUUUUGAUAGGAUCAGGCAAACUACUAAUAGCUUUCUUUGCAGAACCUUAUCAAAUAGUAUUACACCCCACAACACUUAAUCAAGUAGACUGCACAGCCUGGACAACUGGGCCCUUAUUCAUAAAUGCUUCUCUGAGUGUUCAUGAUCUCAUUUUUUUUAGGUAUGACAACUUGGCAGAUUAUUUGUUCUUCUAUGAUGAUAUAAGCCUCUAAAUAUUGGUAUAUUAUAGCAUCAGUGAGUUUCCGAACUGUAAGGUCAACCAGUGGUACCUGCAUUAUGGGUCUUUCCCAACUCAUCAGUAUGGACAAUGCUGACAACCUGGGGCUGAUCUGAGACUCAAUGAAAAAAACUAUUAGUGCCUCUUUGACCAGCUCUAUUGGAACAACACCUUUGCAGAAGCUCACAAGCCUUUCCUUUUAUUUUCUGCUUCUGCGAGAUAGUGAGUUGUUGGCAAAAGGCAGAAUAAGCAUGAAAGACACAAGUUCAAAGAAAGAUUCCUGUUUGUAAUGGGGAAAUCACCAACAUUUCAGGUACUUGACCCAUGCAGUAUUUGACUUCAUUAGUUAGGAAGCAAGUUAGUUAUGCUAAAGUUUUAGUUGCUGUUUGUAGAUGCCAGCUACUUGUUUGAUAUUAGGCCCUCUGCUUUAGUUGUUUUCUGCUUAUCGUUCAUUUCAUGAUUCUGUUUUCUGCUGGGAGUGCUGAUGCAUUUCAGGAGGAAUCUCUCAAUCUUAUUACAGAUCUUUUAAUGACAUUAUCUCAAAGAGGUUUGCAUUGUUGGUAAGAGAAUUUUAUAUAGAUGUUUCCUUAAUUAUUCAUUGCUUACUUAGCAUCAUUUUACAAGUUUCUGCCAUAUGCAUGAUGGGGGAAACUGUACUACUAUUUCAAAAUAUAUUUGGAAUGAGCUUACUAAAACCUCAUGGCCUUCGGGAUAUUGAAGUGUAACUUUCCUGUGAGUGGUGGGGAUCAGAAGUGGACGUUUGUUCAAAGUCAAUUUUAUUACUAUUUUAUGCAAUCAUUAAAUGAACAAAUCCCUAAUGUUUAGAUUUUGUUGUAUGUACACCAAUAGGCUGGUAUAAGUUAUAGCAGUAUUUUUGUUAGUUUUGAAGAUUAAAAAUGAAUAUUUUGAGACAGGUUUUAGUUUAGGUCGCUCUUACUAGUUUAAUCUGACAAUAUAUUAGCCAUUCUUGAUUUGUCUCUGUUCUGCUUCAGUGAAUUGAGUUGCCACAUGAUCUUUUGAUGCCGAAUUACAUAAGUAGCAGAUUGUAAUAAAAAGAAAAUUUAGUCGCUAUAUUUUGAAUUAGUAGCAUGGGAUCAUGUUUGGACAAGUUAAAAGGAGUGAAGGAAUGAAGUCGAAGAGAGAGAUUGAAAGGAGGAAAAGAUGCACUGCCUUCUGCUUUGAUCGAGAGGUUUAGUGUUGUUCUCACCUGCUAAUGAUUGCAUGGUCCUCAAGUAAAUAAAAAGAGAGAUGUGCCAAACAAGAUGUUUUUGCGUCAAUGCCUUUUAUUUUGGUUAUUAGAGAGCAUUGACCUUUAUUAUAUGUUUCUGCGCAGAUGAAUUCAUGUUGAUGUACAUGUUUGUACUUUACACAUGCGACUUUUUCUCUGGAGGAGUUGUGGUGUUUUCCAUUCCGAGUAACUUCUUCCUUUAGUUUUCUGCUUUUAAUGAACUCCAUUUUAAAUCAUUGAUAGGAUCUUUCUUUUCCUAUGCUCUUGCUUCACACUUUUUCAUCUACGAUUGAUGCAAAUAUUUAUUUAUUUAUUUAUUUAUUUAUUUAUUUCCUUCUCCUUUAAAGAGUUUCUCAAUAUGGUAGUCUAACUUUGUCUGGGAUUAACUUGAUAGACAGUUAUAUACAUACUGAUUAAACUCUAGAUUUAUAUAGGUAGAUGGAUAAUCUUGGGGUGAAAAUUUGCUGACUUGAUAGCAAGCUGACAGCAAAGGCUGCUUUAUCUUUGUUUACAUCACCAAUGCCAAGAGGAAGUAAAUAGAGGGUGAAAUUUGUUUUGAUUUCUUGCAAUUGAAGCUGACCAAAUGCUGCAAUUGUGCCUCUUAAGUUACUAAUCAUAAUGCAUUAGGAGCAGAGUUUCAAGUAACCAUCCUGGUGAGAGAUAAUUAAAUUACAAGAAAAUGAGGGCUAUGGUGCAAAGAUCAAUGCCUUGGCCCAGGGAACUCGCCAAAGCAGCAUAUUGACUUGACUCUACUUGACUCGAAGGACGAUGAGAAACUGGUAUGCGUAUGUUUGUGGGUACGGUGCAGGAAAACAUUGCAUUUACUCCCUCAGGAAGGACACAGUGCUAUGAUUGUAACGUAGUACGGCGUGGUCCAAAAAGCAGAGAAGAAAUGCCAGCUGAGGUCUCAGACUCUCUCACUUACACCUGAUGUACUGUUUUCAUCCUUCGCUAUCUUUCUCUUUUUCAUAUUUCAAUUUAUGCUGAUUGAUCCGUAGAAGACUUUUCAAUUCUUGUUAAUAACAAAAAUAUAUAUUGAAUCUGUGCA